Long non-coding RNA from Ailuropoda melanoleuca (giant panda), 288 nucleotides. RefSeq lists it as uncharacterized. The record is from RefSeq and is a predicted model, not a curated record. The transcript is spliced from 3 exons. Lineage: Eukaryota; Metazoa; Chordata; Mammalia; Carnivora; Ursidae.
UGGACGCAGCUCUGCGCUGUUUCAGGAGUGCCAGGAACCCACGUUCGCCUCUCCGGUGGCUUUUGGGGUGUGUCAUCCGGAGACCAUCUGGUUCCAGUGUGUCUGAGAUGGCAUGGAUGAGUGUUUGGGGACCUGUUUAGAGCUCAGCCACCAGGCACAUCUCAGCUAAGGAUUAGAAACUGCUCUGUUCCCACACCGGCCGUGGCCCGAAGCACAGAAACCAUGCCUGCUUUUCCAACACAUCGCUGUGAUAUUUGGUUAGAAGGGGAUUAAGGAUACGAAAAAGAA